Molecule: non-coding RNA, 85 nt
Organism: Lasiosphaeria hispida
Lineage: Eukaryota; Fungi; Ascomycota; Sordariomycetes; Sordariales; Lasiosphaeriaceae
Source: the annotation of a GenBank genome assembly
GGGGCUAUAGUAUAGUGGUUAGUAUAUCUCAUUGUGGUUGCAAAACAGCGCUGAGACGACGCCAGUUCGAUUCCGGCUAGCCCCA